Molecule: ribosomal RNA, 441 nt
Filed under: uncultured bacterium
Lineage: Bacteria
Description: partial 16S ribosomal RNA
Rfam family: Bacterial small subunit ribosomal RNA
Source: RNAcentral
CCUACGGGGGGCUGCAGCUAGGAAUAUUGGGCAAUGGGCGAAAGCCUGACCCAGCAACACCGCGUGAAGGACGACGGCCUUCGGGUUGUAAACUUCUUUUCGAGGGAAUGAGAAAGGACAGUACCCUCGGAAUAAGGCCCGGCUAACUACGUGCCAGCAGCCGCGGUAAUACGUAGGGGCCAAGCGUUAUCCGGAUUUACUGGGCGUAAAGCGCAUGUAGGCGGUUGACUAAGUCGGAUGUGAAAGAUCCUGGCUUAACUGGGAGAGGCCAUUCGAAACUAGUCGGCUGGAGGGUGGUAGAGGAGAGCGGAAUUCCAGGUGUAGCGGUGAAAUGCGUAGAUAUCUGGAGGAACACCAGUGGCGAAAGCGGCUCUCUGGACCAUUCCUGACGCUGAGAUGCGAAAGCCAGGGGAGAGAACGGGAUUAGAUACCCUUGUAGUC